Suricata suricatta (meerkat) is the source of this 3383-nucleotide RNA transcript. It is a transcript of the gene named small integral membrane protein 11A, with no coding region annotated. NCBI's taxonomy places the organism in Eukaryota, Metazoa, Chordata, Mammalia, Carnivora, Herpestidae. The record is from RefSeq and is a predicted model, not a curated record. The transcript is spliced from 7 exons.
CGGAGCAGUGCCUGUCGGGACAUGUAGUUUCCCCGUCGCCUUGGGGGAGUUAACUGUUCGAGUGCAGGCCUCGGCGCAGGGCCCUCCGCGGCCUGGAGCUAUGGGACCAAGGCCCCGGGAGGGAAGUCACUUACCAGAGUCUGUGGGUUCUUCAUCCAGAGCUCAAGUCGUCUGACUCUUGGGAACAGCGAGACCUGACCUUUCAGUUCCUCCUUCAUGUGCUUGUCUGGGGUGCCCGCGCUGACCAGGGGUGACUUCUCGUUGGCCCAGCAUGAACUGGAAGGUCCUUGAACGCGUGCCCCUGCUGCUGUAUAUCUUGGCAGCAAAAACCUUAAUUCUCUGUCUGGCAUUUGCUGGCGUCAAAAUCUACCAACGGAAAAGAUUAGAAGCAAAACUAGAAGCUGAAAAGAAGAAGCAGUCAGAGAAGAAAGAUAACUAGAGGGGAAAAUUAGAGAGCUAAAGAUGUUGCAUAACUGUGCAAUUGAGAUUCCCUUAAAUGACCAUGUGGAUGAGAUGAUUUAUCAGGUCCUUCACUCAGUUGGUGAGCAGGAUGUUGCUGGCCAACCGGAAGAGGAAAACCACUCCGUAGAUGCCAAUGAUGGUGAGAAUGUACCAGGCGGCGCUGGUCCCAUCUGGAAGCUUCAAGGCCCUGGUGGAGUUGGUGCCAUUCUUCCCCUCCAUGUGGUCCCUCAGCAGGUGGCCUAGGAGAGCCAGUGCAAACAGAAUGAAAGCCACAGAAGUAGUACAUGAAACGGCGAGACAUUUUCUAAUUGAACUUCACCAGCUCAAAUCCCCGUUUCUUGCCCUGUGUGAACACAGGCGUCUUCAGAUGUGCCAGAAGAUAAAUCCCACAGCCUCCUGGCUAGACUAGAGCCGCUCCACAAAUGCUUUCUAUUUGAUACUUGUUUGUUGCUAUUUCGUUUUGCUAAUUCAAGAUUCAGAGAGGCUGGUAUUGUUUCACUGCAGUUCAUCUUCAGAACAAGUGAAUAAUCUUACUACUUUUUGAAGAAGGGACAAACUGUUUAAAAGUAACUCUACAAAGUUAUUAAUUAUAUAAAAUCGGCCACUCACAGAAAACAAUACAAUGAUCAGAAAUUUUAUACCAUGGUUGGUGGACAGGCUUGAGAACCCAAAGUUUGGAAGGGGGAAGAUUCCCAUAAUUAUUUUUAAAAAAGUAAACAAAAAAGAAAACAAAAACAGAAACAAAAAGUCAACCCAACAGGAAUGUCAUAAACCUCAAUUAGAGCCAAAGAACUUAUUGGAACUUUGAACAUAUGUAUGGGCUCAGGGCUUUCCUGUGAGCUAGAGAUGGAUGUGAUAUGUUCAAAUACAUAGAAAGUAUACCCCACCAAGAACUUUAAAUUAUUUUAAAACUAGUCCAUUUCCACAUGAAGGAAACUCACUACCUUAAUUAUUGCAGUCCAUUGUUCUUCACUUUUCUUUAAAAAAAAAAAAAGAUUAAACUGGUUGUAUCUUAAUGGAUAAACAUAUCCGGUAGAAAGACAAACCUCCUCUGUGCCAUUUUGCACUUACAAUUUCAUGCUGUGAAACAGAGCAGUCAUUCUAGAACAGCCCAUCUGUGCUUUAAAGCAGAAUACUCACGUUCCACGGGAUGGUCUCCUUGAUUCUUGGGAAGACGAGUUUAAGAGGUGGCCAUGGAAAGAGAAGACAGAAGAACUCUUCCCUGUAAGAUCCUACUGACGUCUGGCGCCUGGAGGCCCCUGAGCAGGGAGUAACAUGAUACCUGGAGAAUUUUAGGGCAAUACCAAGUAGAAGCUUAGCAGAGAACUCAUUGUCUCUCCUUCAGUUAAUCAAGAGAUCAAAAUCUAUCUGUCUUCUGUUGGCUCUAAACACAAAGUACUUCCUGGCUUAAGCUUGUUGAGAGGUCUAAUGCAAAGGCAUUUUUAAAAACAUCCUGGUACCAAGGAGUCUCUGGCUCUUCCUGAGGCUGGCUCGCCAGCUUACAGCCUGGACGGUUCCUGAAUUCCCCUGCUCUGCACCUGCCGCAGGCGUCACAGACGGUCAGGUGUGGCAGAGGCCUGUUGUCACAGGGUCAGAAAACUCCAUGGUCAAGAGUCACCGACUUCCUCUUGGACUGUCUCCUGGAUGAGGAAACCCAGACAGGAAGGCACAGGCAUGGGAUGGGGGGGACACAGUGGAGGGGCCUGGGUUCCCCAGGGAUCAGUGGGCAGUGAGGUGAUAAGUGCUUCCUGUGAGGAGUGGUGCUUCCUUUUCCCACAGCCUUGAGUCACAGCCCACACCAGAAUUGGAGUAAAUUUAACCAAAAAGUGCUAGAAUAGUAAGAGUCUGGGAGGAAAGAAAAGCAGGGAGCCACCAUGCCCAGCCCUACUCCUGAAUCCUCACUGAUAAGACCAGCACCUGUUAGACAUGUAAGGUUGCUGGCUUUUAAGAUGUCAUUUGGUCAAAUGUCCAUCAGUAGGGGACUAGACAAGCAAAUUCUAGAACAGACCAUAGGACCCAGCAAUUCCACUCUUAGGUCUGUGUCUAGGAGAGGUGGGAGCAUACACCAGACAAAGACUUGCAUAUGGAUGCUCGUAAUAGCUGAAAAGUGGGAACAGUCCAAAGUCUAUCCACUGAUGACUGGGGGCAUACGAUGUGGUCUCUCCGUACAAUGGAAUAUUAUUUGACAAUAAAAAGGGCUGAAGUACGGACACGCGUUGUAACAUGGAUGGACCUUGAAAACAUUAUGUCAAGUGGAAGGCUCCAGUUACAAAGAACAAGACAUUGUAUGGUUCUGUGUGUAUGAAAUGUCCAGAAGAGACUGAUCUAUAAGGACAGAAAGUAGAUUAGUGGUUUCCUAGGGCUGGGGUGGGGGGUGUGGGAUGGUAACUGUGGGGUGCAGGGUUUCUUUUAGGGAUGCUAAAGGAUUCCAACCUGAUUGUGGCGCUGGUUGCACACCUCUUCUGUGAAUAUUCUAGAAACCACUGAAUUGUACCCUGUGAGUGGAUGACCCUUAAGGGAUAUGAAUUCAAUUUCAAUAACAUAACAUAGUACAACGGAAUAUUCUGCAACUGUGACAAGGAAAUGCGGAAGCUCUUUGUGUACUGGUGUGUAAAGUCUCCAACGUGUGUUGUUGAAUGAAAACAGCAAAGAAGAGAGUAUGUUCACUCUCUGUAAAAAAGUAGGGGGGGCAUCAUAUAGAUCUCGUUUGCUUGUUUUGGCAUUGAAAAGCUUUAAGGAUGGCUGGAGACGUAAGAACGGGAGUUAUCUAGAGAAGAGAAUUGGGUCGAUGAGGGCAGGAGUGGGGGUAGAAUUCUCAGUGUAUAUUUUUUAAUGGAUAUAAAGAAAUUUAACUGUGUCUGUGUGCUCUCUUUUCAGUAACAAAUGCAUCUAUUACUUAAAGUAAAACUUCGUGGACUUUC